CCUACGGGAGGCAGCAGUGGGGAAUAUUGGACAAUGGGCGAAAGCCUGAUCCAGCAAUGCCGCGUGAGUGAUGAAGGCCUUCGGGUCGUAAAGCUCUUUUACCAGGGAUGAUAAUGACAGUACCUGGAGAAUAAGCUCCGGCUAACUCCGUGCCAGCAGCCGCGGUAAUACGGAGGGAGCUAGCGUUGUUCGGAAUUACUGGGCGUAAAGAGUACGUAGGCGGUUAUUCAAGUCAGAGGUGAAAGCCCGGGGCUCAACCCCGGAACUGCCUUUGAAACUAGAUAACUAGAGUCUUGGAGAGGUUAGUGGAAUUCCGAGUGUAGAGGUGAAAUUCGUAGAUAUUCGGAAGAACACCAGUGGCGAAGGCGACUAACUGGACAAGUACUGACGCUGAGGUACGAAAGCGUGGGGAGCAAACAGGAUUAGAUACCCUGGUAGUCCACGCCGUAAACGAUGAUAACUAGUUGUUCGGUCACUUGGUGACUGAGUGACGCAGCUAACGCAUUAAGUUAUCCGCCUGGGGAGUACGGUCGCAAGNUUAAAACNCAAGAUGACGNNGNGANGCGAGCGACACGAGGAGAG
Molecule: ribosomal RNA, 582 nt
Filed under: uncultured bacterium
Lineage: Bacteria
Description: bacterial SSU rRNA
Rfam family: Bacterial small subunit ribosomal RNA
Source: RNAcentral